This 719-nucleotide ribosomal RNA is filed under the name uncultured bacterium. RNAcentral's name for it is "bacterial SSU rRNA". It matches the Rfam family "Bacterial small subunit ribosomal RNA", at positions 670 to 1388 of the family's 1533-position model. The record is from RNAcentral.
CAUGUGUAGCGGUGAAAUGCGUAGAUAUAUGGAGGAACACCGGUGGCGAAAGCGGCUCUCUGGUCUGUCACUGACGCUGAGGCUCGAAAGCGUGGGUAGCGAACAGGAUUAGAUACCCUGGUAGUCCACGCCGUAAACGCUGAGUGCUAGGUGUUAGGUCCUUNCCGGGACUUAGUGCCGACGCUAACGCAUUAAGCACUCCGCCUGGGGAGUACGACCGCAAGGUUGAAACUCAAAGGAAUUGACGGGGGCCCGCACAAGCGGUGGAGCAUGUGGUUUAAUUCGAAGCAACGCGAAGAGCCUUACCAGGUCUUGACAUCCCGAUGCCCGCUCUAGAGAUAGAGUUUUACUUUUUGUACAUCGGAGACGGGUGGUGCAUGGUUGUCGUCAGCUCGUGUCGUGAGAUGUUGGGUUAAGUCCCGCAACGAGCGCAACCCUUAUUGUUAGUUGCCAUCAUUAAGUUGGGCACUCUAGCGAGACUGCCGGUAAUAAACCGGAGGAAGGUGGGGAUGACGUCAAAUCAUCAUGCCCCUUAUGACCUGGGCUACACACGUGCUACAAUGGUUGGUACAACGAGUCGCAAGCCGGUGACGGCAAGCUAAUCUCUGAAAGCCAAUCUCAGUUCGGAUUGUAGGCUGCAACUCGCCUACAUGAAGUCGGAAUCGCUAGUAAUCGCGGAUCAGCACGCCGCGGUGAAUACGUUCCCGGGCCUUGUACAC